RNAcentral lists this transfer RNA (72 nucleotides) under Urocitellus parryii (Arctic ground squirrel). RNAcentral's name for it is "Spermophilus parryii (Arctic ground squirrel) tRNA". It matches the Rfam family "tRNA". Rfam says of the family: Transfer RNA (tRNA) molecules are approximately 80 nucleotides in length. Their secondary structure includes four short double-helical elements and three loops (D, anti-codon, and T loops). The record is from Rfam by way of RNAcentral. RNAcentral also lists the same sequence under 2 other names. Lineage: Eukaryota; Metazoa; Chordata; Mammalia; Rodentia; Sciuridae.
GGGGAUGUGGCUCAGUGGUAUGGUGCUUACUUUGCAUGUACAAGGCACUGGGUUCAAUUCCCAGUACUGCCA